This 535-nucleotide ribosomal RNA is filed under the name uncultured Paracoccaceae bacterium. RNAcentral's name for it is "uncultured Rhodobacteraceae bacterium partial 16S ribosomal RNA". It matches the Rfam family "Bacterial small subunit ribosomal RNA", at positions 875 to 1382 of the family's 1533-position model. Lineage: Bacteria; Pseudomonadati; Pseudomonadota; Alphaproteobacteria; Rhodobacterales; Paracoccaceae. The record is from RNAcentral.
GGUGGGGAANAUAGUAAUNGGGUGNAGNACAAACNGGNUUAAGCANUCNGGGNGGGAGAACGUNGCAAGAUAAAAUUCAAAGGAAUUGACGGGGGCCNGNACANGGGGUGGAGCANGUGGUUUAAUUNGAAGCAACGAGCAGAACCUAACCAACCGUNGAGAUCGUGUGCUACAUCCAAAGAUGGAUGGUUCCCUUCGGAGACGCAGUGACAGGUGAUGCAUGGCUGUCGUCAGCUAGUGUGGUGAGAUGUUCGGUUAAGUCCGGCAACGAGCGCAACCCACAUCCCUAGUUGCCAGCAGUUCGGCUGGGCACUCUAUGGAAACUGCCCGUGAUAAGCGGGAGGAAGGUGUGGACGACGUCAAGUCCUCAUGGCCCUUACGGGUUGGGCUACACACGUGCUACAAUGGUAGUGACAAUGGGUUAAUCCCAAAAAGCUAUCUCAGUUCGGAUUGUCGUAUGCAACUCGACGGCAUGAAGUCGGAAUCGGUAGUACUCGCGUAACAGCAUGACGCGGUGAAUACGUUCCCGGGCCUU